Molecule: long non-coding RNA, 2822 nt
Filed under: Gadus morhua (Atlantic cod)
Lineage: Eukaryota; Metazoa; Chordata; Actinopteri; Gadiformes; Gadidae
Source: RNAcentral
AUGUUCUUUCGUGGUUCUACAUGCGCACUAAAUAAAAGUCAUGCUCACUGUAUGUUCAAUGUUUGGGUGGUUUUACAUAUGAGGCCACAUACGCACUCUGAAGACAGAGAGAUACGAUUCAGGUAUUCUGGAUGGAUGCGUUGCUGGGAGAAGCUAACUUUUUUCAUUUCCCUUUACAGAUCCUGGCAUCACCGGACAGACCCGAGACCCGAGUCCAGUCUCAGCCCCAGGUCCGGUCCGGUCCGGUCCGGUCCGGCCCGGCCCCGGCCCCCCUCCAGUCCUGCUUUGCUCAGCAGCCCAGCCCGCUCCAGGAGCCAUCAGGCUGUCAAAGACAUACUGGGAAUUAAGAGCAAGAAAAAGGGAAGAAGGAGAGAGAGAAGGCAACGAGAUGGAACCGCUUUCUUCCCAUUGCGUCCCUGUGGAGCGCACAGCAUUCAGCCUGCAUGGAGGCGACACGCUGCCACCUGGUGGCUUGGUACGGUGGGACAGCUGGUGUUGUGAAUCAGGCCGCCACAAUGCCCGGACCGGCUCCUUCCCAACACCAGGGUCUCACCGUCGCCCCUCUCUCCUAUCACCGUGCUAUCCUGCCUACAUAUUGUCGCAGACUGCCGUAACUAAAAUUGCAAUGAAUGUAUUGAAGUACAAUGUGUGAAGAAGACGAUUUAGUAAAAAUAUUUCUCCAAAGACAAGUAAAAUUGACAGACAAUGAAAAUACAAAGUGUGUGGGGACAUGGGCAAAUAACGUCGCUUAAAUAGCAUGUUUUUUAUUUUUUUAUUGGAUUUUUGAAUUGAAUCAUCUGAUUAAAAACGCCACCAUGAAACUCAUUGUUUUCUUGUAUUAAGAUCCAUUUGUAAAUAUUGUUAUAAAACCUGUAAUACCUGGACUUAUGUCGACUAUAGGCUACUUGGUGACGUGUGUGUGUGUGCGUGUGUGUGUGUGUGUGUGUGUGUGUGUGUGUGUGUGUGUGUGUGUGUGUGUGUGUGCGCGUGUACACCUAGGCCUAGUAUGAAACAUAAUAAUUUGAUGUUUGAUGCUAUUGUACACAUGAGCUUAUGAAUAUAGUUAGGCUAUAUAAAGGUUUCAAUAUUUUGAAAAACAACACAAGGACAAGCACAAUAUAAUAUACAUGACCACUAUAUUAAGAUCUAAAAAAAUACCUGUACAGAAAUCAACAAAAUCUGCUCUGGUAGCCUACAUAAUUCUGCUAAAUCCCAGGCCUGUUGCCCAUACACCCAUGACCCACUAGGUGGCACUAAAGUCUGUUUUCAAUAUUGCAUGAUCAAUAUGCAUAUAUUGAAAGGCGUCCCCACUUCCGCCUCGUGCCCACUACCUCCGUCCGACUUUGAAUGGGGACGGACGCGCAAUGCAUUGUGGAUCCGUCCGUUCCGUUGGAGCCUUCCGCCUCGUGCCCACUACCUCCGUCCGUUGACUGAUCCCCAUUGACUUCGAAUGGGGACGGACGCGCAAUGUCCGUUCCCUUGGAGCCUUCGGGUCUGUUCGAAAUGUAGUGGCGUUGCUGACUGAUGGGGAGUAGUCUUUGCAGAGGCAUCCGUCAGCCAAUCAAAUCGCUUCGCCGGGUUCUUCCCGCUACUUCCUGCUUGUUGAAAUGCAAGAUGACCCGCUUUCCCGCUUUCCAGUAUCGUCAGAGCCCGAGUCGCGUCACAGUGUUUAAAUUUGCAGACGCGAUCUGAUUGGAUGACGGAUCCGUGCCCACUACCUCCGUCCGUUGCGUGAUCCCCAUUGACUUUAAUGGGGACGGACGCUCAAUGCAUUGUGGAUCCGUCCGUUCCGUUGGAGCCUUCGGCGCCGUCAGAAAGUUGAAAAAUGUUCAACUUUUUCUGCAGCGACGGAUCCGUCAUCCAAUCAGAUCGCGUAUGCAAAUGUAAGCACUGCGACGCGACUCGGGCUCUGACGAUACUGGAAAGCGGGAAAGCGGGUCAUCUUGCAUCGCAACAAGCAGGAAGUAGCGGGAAGAACCCGGCGAAGCGAUUUGAUUGCUUGUUGCGAUGCAAGAUGACCCGCUUUCCCGCUUUCCAGUAUCGUCAGAGCCCGAGUCGCGUCACAGUGCUUACAUUUGCAGACGCGAUCUGAUUGGAUGACGGAUCCGUCGCUGCCGAAAAAGUUGAACAUAUUUCAACUUCUUGACUGAGCCGAAGGCUCCAACGGAACGUACGGAUCCACAAUGCAUUGCGCGUCCGUCCCCAUUAAAGUCAAUGGGGAUCACGCAACGGACGGAGGUAGUGGGCACGGGGCGUUACUUAUUACUACUUACUACCUACUCAAUACUUGGCUUACUACUCGAAUCCUUAAAUAAUGAUUGAGUGAUCCAUUUGAGUAAUCGACGUUCGGAAGACCGUUCUUACUUAACCACCUCAGAUGACGUGAAUCAAAUGACGUGUCAAUAACCUACCGGCCGGGCGCCGUUAAUAAAGAUAUGUUAAAAACAAUUAUUUAAAAAAACAUUUAAUUAUUUUAUAUUUUUCUUGUCUAUUGUCUGAUUUUCCCGCGUUUCCUCUUCUUUGUCCUAAUGCUAGAUUGCCAGUUAAUACAGAAUAUAUAGCCUACAGAUAAAUAGACCGAUAGAUAGAUUUAGUUAGAUUAGACAGACUGCCUUUUAUAUUUCCAUUUUUGAUUUAGAUUUUAUAUAUUUUCCAAUCAUUUUGAUAGAUUUUCGUUAUUUUAUUGUUUUUUUAUCAUCGCGUUCGUAAAAUGUACCUGACCAGCCGUAGGAGAGCCGCAGCAGCACGGAGACGAAGGAGGGAGUCAGCUCGCCGUCGAUACAUGGUUGCCAUGUACGGACAUUUAUGUUGUAGCACUGAAG